Molecule: transfer RNA, 62 nt
Filed under: Hydrosaurus weberi
Lineage: Eukaryota; Metazoa; Chordata; Lepidosauria; Squamata; Agamidae
Description: tRNA-Cys
Source: RNAcentral
UAGGCCUACUGGCUAUUUACAAACCACCAUCCAAAUUUGCACUUUAGAUCUAAUCUAGGCCU